GGCUCUGUAGCGCAAUGGACAGCGCGCCGGACUUCUAAUCCGGAGGUUGUGGGUUCGAAUCCCACCUGAGUCA
Molecule: non-coding RNA, 73 nt
Organism: Lineus longissimus
Lineage: Eukaryota; Metazoa; Nemertea; Pilidiophora; Heteronemertea; Lineidae
Source: the annotation of a RefSeq genome assembly